GUAGGUGGCAAGCGUUGUCCGGAAUUAUUGGGCGUAAAGCGCGCGCAGGCGGUCCUUUGAGUCUGAUGUGAAAGCCCACGGGCUCAACCGUGGAGGGUCAUUGGAAACUGGGGGACUUGAGUACAGAAGAGGAAAGCGGAAUUCCAAGUGUAGCGGUGAAAUGCGUAGAGAUUUGGAGGAACACCAGUGGCGAAGGCGGCUUUCUGGUCUGUAACUGACGCUGAGGCGCGAAAGCGUGGGGAGCAAACAGGAUUAGAUACCCUGGUAGUCCACGCCGUAAACGAUGAGUGCUGAGUGUUAGGGGGUUUCCGCCCCUUAGUGCUGCAGCUAACGCAUUAAGCACUCCGCCUGGGGAGUACGGCCGCAAGGCUG
RNAcentral lists this ribosomal RNA (372 nucleotides) under uncultured organism. RNAcentral describes it as "partial 16S ribosomal RNA". It matches the Rfam family "Bacterial small subunit ribosomal RNA", at positions 527 to 896 of the family's 1533-position model. The record is from RNAcentral.